UACGGAGGGAGCUAGCGUUGUCCGGAUUUACUGGGCGUAAAGAGCGCGCAGGCGGUCGUUCAAGUCGAGUGUGAAGGCCCCCGGCUCAACUGGGGAGGGUCACUCGAUACUGAUCGACUCGAAGGCAGGAGAGGGUAGUGGAAUUCCCGGUGUAGUGGUGAAAUGCGUAGAUAUCGGGAGGAACACCAGUGGCGAAGGCGAAUCCCUGGAAAAUACCUGACACUGAGGCACGAAAGCUAGGGGAGCAAACAGG
Molecule: ribosomal RNA, 253 nt
Filed under: uncultured bacterium
Lineage: Bacteria
Description: partial 16S ribosomal RNA
Rfam family: Bacterial small subunit ribosomal RNA
Source: RNAcentral